RNAcentral lists this ribosomal RNA (482 nucleotides) under uncultured bacterium. RNAcentral's name for it is "partial 16S ribosomal RNA". It matches the Rfam family "Bacterial small subunit ribosomal RNA", at positions 43 to 523 of the family's 1533-position model. The record is from RNAcentral.
CAUGCCUAAUACAUGCAAGUCGAACGAGAGGAAGGAAAGCUUGCUUUUCUGAAUCUAGCGGCGAACGGGUGAGUAACACGUAGGUGAUCUGCCCAUCAGACGGGGACAACGAUUGGAAACGAUCGCUAAUACCGGAUAGGACGAAAGUUUAAAGGUGCUUCUGGCACCGCUGAUGGAUGAGCCUGCGGCGCAUUAGCUAGUUGGUAGGGUAAAGGCCUACCAAGGCGACGAUGCGUAGCCGACCUGAGAGGGUGAACGGCCACACUGGGACUGAGACACGGCCCAGACUCCUACGGGAGGCAGCAGUAGGGAAUCUUCGGCAAUGGGCGAAAGCCUGACCGAGCAACGCCGCGUGAAUGAUGAAGGCCUUCGGGUUGUAAAAUUCUGUUAUAAGGGAAGAACGACUUUAGUAGGAAAUGGCUAGAGUGUGACGGUACCUUAUGAGAAAGCCACGGCUAACUACGUGCCAGCAGCCGCAGUAA